AUGUACCAAAAUCAGUACUACAUGGACAAUUCGUCCUUGAUACAUCAAGGUUUCUGAAGUCUGGAGCAAAGAAAAACCAAGCUGCUUGAGGAAAUAAUGCAGUCAGAGGGGACUUCUUUUCGGCCAGCGACGAAUGCUACUAGGGAACAG
Long non-coding RNA from Mobula hypostoma (lesser devil ray), 150 nucleotides. RefSeq lists it as uncharacterized. The transcript has 3 exons. The record is from RefSeq and is a predicted model, not a curated record. NCBI's taxonomy places the organism in Eukaryota, Metazoa, Chordata, Chondrichthyes, Myliobatiformes, Myliobatidae.